RNAcentral lists this small nuclear RNA (107 nucleotides) under Erinaceus europaeus (western European hedgehog). Lineage: Eukaryota; Metazoa; Chordata; Mammalia; Eulipotyphla; Erinaceidae. The record is from RNAcentral.
GUGCUUGCUUCAGCAGCACAUACACUAAAAUUGGAACGAUACAGAGAAGAUUAGCAUGGCCCCUGCACAAGGAUGACAUGCAAAUUUGUGAAGCGUUCCAUAUUUUU